CGUGUAGGCUGCUUGGAAAGUCGGAUGUGAAAGCCCUGGGCUCAACCUAGGAAGUGCAUUCGAAACUUCCAAGCUCGAGUUUCGGAGAGGAAGGCGGAAUUCUCGGUGUAGAGGUGAAAUUCGUAGAUAUCGAGAGGAACACCGGUGGCGAAGGCGGCCUUCUGGACGAUGACUGACGCUGAGACGCGAAAGCGUGGGGAGCAAACA
This 207-nucleotide ribosomal RNA is filed under the name uncultured delta proteobacterium. Its description in RNAcentral is "partial 16S ribosomal RNA". It matches the Rfam family "Bacterial small subunit ribosomal RNA", at positions 568 to 774 of the family's 1533-position model. Lineage: Bacteria; Deltaproteobacteria. The record is from RNAcentral.